AGAGAAGGAGUGAGGGUGAUCUCAGUUUUAUCUGUGUUUGGUUUUUCUCUAGGAGAAAAUGUAAAAAAUGAAUCUGAAGCAAAUAUAUCAAAAGACUGACAAUUGAAAUAUCUGGGAGGUAGGUACAAGAUUUUCUUCGGUGAUAUUAACCGUAAAGCAGGCUGGCCUCACAUAGGAUUUGCAGAGAAGCUGUUAGAGGGCAGAGACCCAGAAGAAGAUAUACCUUGAAAUUCUCUGUGUAACGAGCAAUAAAGAGCAGACAUAAAGCUCUGCAAGCAAAAUUCCUGAACAAAAGGUUUCUAUGAAGGAAGCGGCUGACCAGUUCCCAGGUAAUAUCUGGUGCCCCAGAUAAUAAGCGGGCGAUCAAGAAUAGAACCCGCAGUGCUCAUGGCCUCGGUCUCAGGCUAGACUGCACUCUGACCUCUUUAUGCAUCCUGCUCUUCAAGAGCCCAAGUUUGGGUUCUCAGGAAGCCACUCCAGGCAUGUUUUGUGACAACAGAGGUUGCCUGACAGCUUGAUCAGGGAUUCAUUGUUUAUACUUUUCUACUUUCCUGGCAUCCCUCCCACCUGCUUUCGUGUCACUACCACUGCUAAGUUAGGCAGACCAGACUCUUCCAUUGUCCUCUGUCACCUCCUCAUAUUACCUAUCCCAACCCUUGGUGAAGCCAGGAGCCCCAACUUAGGUCACCUGUCCCUUACUGGUCACCUGUGACUUACUUACCCAGUCUGUCCCAUUGACUUAGGCAGUAAACUCCCUGGGGUGGGAACAAUGUAGGUGGUCAUGGGAGACUCAAUGCAGUAUGGUACUCCAUAAAUUAUUAACUGUUGGAAUCGUAAAAACAAGGAGCUGUGAGUAACCGGAGAGGGUGGGCAGGGAGGGGUUUGACAACACACACACCACACACACACACACAUUAACACAAACAUCCGGGAAGAGUUUUCUCAGUGACUUUGCUGUAUGGUUUUCUGAGUUUUCUGUUUUGCUUUUUGCUGAACCUAAGUGCUUUUGCAGUCAUAAGUAGGGCUGUUGCCAACGUGGUCCCAGGAUGCUCGGGCAGGGGAUGGGCUGCAGAGAAUUUUUCUUGCUUAUGGCAGCAGCAAGGGAACUGUGGGUUCCUCCCAAGGAGCCAGUGUGACUGCAGUGUUGGUGGAGGCAGCCAAGGUGAUGAGAAGGAUGUGUUGAUGCAAAAAGGUCUGAGGUCAGGGAGCCUCUUUCUGCAUGGCAGCCCUUCCA
This is a non-coding RNA of Kogia breviceps (pygmy sperm whale), 1234 nucleotides long. The record is from RefSeq and is a predicted model, not a curated record. Lineage: Eukaryota; Metazoa; Chordata; Mammalia; Artiodactyla; Physeteridae.